RNAcentral lists this ribosomal RNA (251 nucleotides) under uncultured prokaryote. Its description in RNAcentral is "partial 16S rRNA". It matches the Rfam family "Bacterial small subunit ribosomal RNA", at positions 525 to 775 of the family's 1533-position model. The record is from RNAcentral.
ACGGGGGGUGCAAGCGUUGUUCGGAAUUAUUGGGCGUAAAGAGCGUGUAGGCGGCUGUGUAAGUCAGAUGUGAAAUCCUGGGGCUCAACUCCAGAACUGCCUUUGAGACUGUACAGCUUGAAUCCAGGAGAGGUAAGUGGAAUUCCUAGUGUAGAGGUGAAAUUCGUAGAUAUUAGGAGGAACACCAGUGGCGAAGGCGGCUCACUGGCCUGAUACUGACGCUGAGGUGCGAAAGCGUGGGUAGCAAACAG